CCUACGGGAGGCAGCAGUGGGGACUAUUGGGCAAUGGGCGAAAGUCUGACCCAGCAACGCCGCGUGAAUGAUGAAGGCUUUCGGGUUGUAAACUUCUUUUGAAAGGGACGAGCAGAGGACGGUUCCUGUAGAAUAAGCCCUGGCUAACUUCGUUCCAGCAGCCGCGGUUAUACGUAGGUGGCAAGCGUUGUCCGGAUUUAAGGGGUGGAAAGGGCGUGUAGCCGGGCUGACAAGUCAGUUGUGAAAUCCGGAGGCGCAAACCUGGAACUGCAUUUGAAACUGUUGGUCGUGAGUUUCGGAGAGGCAAGCGGAAUUCCUAGUGUAGCGGUGAAAUGCGUAGAUAUUAGGAGGAACACCAGGGGCGAAGGCGGCCUGCUGGACGACAACUGACGGUGAGGCGCGAAAGCGUGGGGAGCAAACAGGAUUAGAUACCCUUGUAGUC
Molecule: ribosomal RNA, 442 nt
Filed under: uncultured bacterium
Lineage: Bacteria
Description: partial 16S ribosomal RNA
Rfam family: Bacterial small subunit ribosomal RNA
Source: RNAcentral